AGGACUACUUUCAGAGAUCUGUUUCUAUAGUUUGUUAUCAGAGAAGUUUAUUUAAACGUGUGGAAUACCGGAAACCACGAAGAUAGAGGCGAAGUGUUUUUUUUCUGAGCGUGAGAUUGCCACUUGGUAUUGUUUUAUCGCGUUUGCCUUUUGGCAUUGAUGAUCGUUCUUCUUUCCUUUUGGGAGAGUAAGAGGGAGAGAGCGCAAUCUGAGUGGU
Molecule: small nucleolar RNA, 217 nt
Filed under: Macaca nemestrina (pig-tailed macaque)
Lineage: Eukaryota; Metazoa; Chordata; Mammalia; Primates; Cercopithecidae
Description: Small nucleolar RNA U3 (ENSMNEG00000023642.1)
Rfam family: Small nucleolar RNA U3
About the family: Small nucleolar RNAs (snoRNAs) are involved in the processing and modification of rRNA in the nucleolus. There are two main classes of snoRNAs: the box C/D class, and the box H/ACA class.
Source: Rfam by way of RNAcentral